Leopardus geoffroyi (Geoffroy's cat) is the source of this 3021-nucleotide RNA transcript. It is a transcript of the gene named serum/glucocorticoid regulated kinase 2, with no coding region annotated. The transcript is spliced from 16 exons. NCBI's taxonomy places the organism in Eukaryota, Metazoa, Chordata, Mammalia, Carnivora, Felidae. The record is from RefSeq and is a predicted model, not a curated record.
CCACGAGAUCAUGACCUGAGCCAAAAUCAGACGCUCAACCCGCUGAGCCACCCAGGUGCCCCACAUUCUUAUAAAGAUGGUAUCCCUGAUAUACCUAUCAUUUUGAAAAGUCCUUUUUUGCUUGACAUUGUAUGACACACAUAUUCCUGUUUUGGUUUACAAAGCCUUAGCUAUUAUUUUUCAAUUGGGUAAUUGUCCACCUUAUACAUGUACUAUAAUCGAUCUUAUCAGCUCAUUCCUGAUUCAUUAGUUAAAUACGUACUGAGCACCGAUCAUAUUGCUGGUCCUUAUCUAGGUGCUGGGGAUUCAACAGUGAACAAGAAAGGUCUUUGCCCUCAUAGAGCCAAUGUUCUAGUUUAAGACGGAAAACAAAGAGUUGAUGAUAAGGUGUCAGCAUGGUACGUGUUAUAAAAUAAAACACAAAGCAGAAAAAGUGGAUCAAGAGUGGGUGGGAGUAGGGUUGUACAGUGACCAGCCAUCCUGGUUUGCCAGAGCUGUACUAACUUUAGCAUUGAGAGUCUCAUAUCCCAGGAAACCCUUAGUCCCAGACAAACCAGGGUAUUCAGUCACUCAUAAUCUCAGAAAAGGCCUCUCUGAGAGGUGACAUUUGAGCAGAGGCCUCUGGGAUAUUAGUGGAAGCCUAGCCAUGCAGAAGUCUGGGGGAAAAGCAUUCUAGACAGAGUGGAAAGUAAAUGCCAGGGGCAGGAGGCCAGAGGGCACUCUGUGUGUUUGAGAGACAGCAAGAAAGCCAGAGAGGCUGGAGUGUAGUGACAGGGAGAGCAUGGGAACCAAGGUGGAGAGGGUGAUAGGAGCUAGGUCUCAUGGAAUCUUGCAGACCAUGGUAGACUUUGGAUUUUAAUCCUAGGUGUGACCAGAAGCAACCAGAGUUUUCGAGCAGCCAGCUCAUGUGAUCCACUUAGAUUUUUUUUUUUUUAAGUGGCUCUCUGGAGUUGGGUGGAGAAAGAUUGUAGAGGGUAAAGAUAAACGUCAGGAGACAGUAGGGAAGCUUUUGCAAUAGUCUACGCCAAGUGGUGACCGUGGCUCAGACAGGGAGGUUGCAGCAGAACUGGCGAGUAGCGGUGCUUUCUGGAUUUAAUUUGAAGUGCUGCUGAAUAAAGGCCUCAUCAGUGUCUUGUUACAGAGAAGAAGUGUCCUUGUUCUGGGGAGAGGCGAUGUCCCUGAGGGAACAGAGGUCUCUGGUCUCAUCUUAAGCACUGCUGGAUCCCAUGUGACAUCAACAGCCCUCUACUGCUGCUGGGAGUUCUGAGCUGGGCGCUGGGGCAGGGCCGGCGCCAGGCACAGACACUUGGGCCCUUGUUGGGAGAACAGAGAGAGGCUCUCUUGUCCACUGCCUGUCCUCCGGCUCCAACUGCUGGUUCCCUCCGGGGCCUCUCCUCAGGCUGUGCAGAACCCACCUGAUCACGGUUACAGAAUGGACUCUAGCCCGGUGGGCAGCCCCAGUCCUCAGCCCUCAAGGGCCAAUGGGAAUGUCAACCUGGGGCCUUCAGCCAACCCAAAUGCCCGGCCCACCGACUUUGACUUCCUGAAAGUCAUUGGCAAAGGGAGCUAUGGCAAGGUGCUACUGGCCAAGCGCAAGUCUGACGGGAUGUUCUACGCAGUGAAGGUGCUGCAGAAAAAGUCCAUCUUACAGAAGAAAGAGCAGAACCACAUCAUGGCGGAGCGCAGCGUGCUUCUGAAGAGCGUGCAGCACCCCUUCCUUGUGGGCCUACGCUACUCCUUCCAGACGCCCGAGAAGCUCUACUUUGUGCUUGACUAUGUCAACGGGGGAGAGCUCUUCUUCCACCUGCAGCGGGAGCGCCGGUUCCUGGAGCCCCGGGCCCGGUUCUACGCCGCCGAGGUGGCCAGUGCCAUUGGCUACCUGCACUCCCUCAACAUCAUUUACAGGGACCUGAAACCAGAGAACAUUCUCUUGGACUGCCAGGGACAUGUGGUACUGACGGAUUUUGGCCUCUGCAAGGAGGGUGUAGAGCCCGAGGAGACCACAUCCACGUUCUGUGGCACCCCCGAGUACUUGGCUCCAGAAGUGCUCCGUAAAGAGCCUUAUGACCGGGCGGUGGACUGGUGGUGCUUGGGGGCAGUUCUCUACGAGAUGCUGCAAGGCCUGCCACCCUUCUACAGCCAAGACGUGUCCCAGAUGUAUGAGAAUAUUCUGUACCAGCCGCUACAUAUCCCAGGGGGCCAGACGGUGGCCGCCUGCGACCUCCUGCAAGGCCUUCUCCACAAGGACCAGAGGCAGCGGCUGGGCUCCAAAUCAGACUUUCUUGAGAUAAAGAACCAUGUAUUCUUCAGCCCCAUAAACUGGGAUGACCUGUACCACAAGAGGCUGACUCCACCCUUCAACCCAAAUGUGGCAGGACCUGCUGACUUGAAACACUUUGACCCAGAGUUCACCCAGGAAGUUGUGUCAAAGUCCAUUGGCUGCACUCCCGACACUGUGGCCAGCAGCUCUGGGGCCUCAAGUGCAUUCCUGGGAUUUUCCUAUGCACCAGAGGAUGAUGCCAUCUUGGACUACUAGAAGAGAAGCACUCGUGUAACCACUGAAGACAGCUGGUACCCCUAAGGACUUGCCUUCCUUACCUUCAGCUGCUAGUAACAGAGACUCAAACUCCCUGCCCCAGGAAUAAUGGGGGAUGAAGCUGGAAGAUCAUGGAAAACACACCUACGACACUAACACAGACCUACUGGAGAUCUAAGCUGGGUCAGGAAGAGUUACCAUUACCCUUUGGCAUGUGCUGAGAACUUUGAAACACUCUGAUUUGAUUUCCAUCAUAGCAGUGUCUGUUAUUUGACAAGUGUGUGGAACAAGAUGUGGCAGUGGCCAAAAUUUCCCCAACUUCCCAAAGCAAAAAGCAACAGAGUGUAAUUGUUGGAAACAUGAUAGUACUGUCACAAGUAUACAACCCACUAUGGGUUGUGAAACACAUAAUGGUUCCAUGUGUUGUAAGACUGUAAAAUCACAAAAUUUUCACCAAGACAGAAAAUAAAAAUGUAGAAAAACUA